GAUUAAGCUAGUGCAAAGCUAGCCUGCAUGGGCGUUAGGGUUACAAAGUGUGGGGGAAUGUUACGAUCUUCCCAGUGUGGGAUUUCGAUAUGGGGCAUAUAUGGACUUGGGCUCUCCAACAUCAAUAGCUAGCUUUUGAGGUGUGGUCCUCCUGAGUUCAUAACAAUGUCCCACUACUUGUUGUCACUUCCAUAUGACAUGUUCAAAAAGAAAAUACUAGUUUUUUAGAGGAGUUGUUAUGUGGGAACCACUUAUAGUACACAUUAAAAUUUCUCUUUUAAGUCCCGUUUCUUGUUGUGACUUUCAUAAAACAUGUUCAACUGAAACACUUUUUUUUUUUUUCAGUGUUA
This 350-nucleotide unclassified non-coding RNA is filed under the name Hevea brasiliensis (rubber tree). The record is from RNAcentral. Lineage: Eukaryota; Viridiplantae; Streptophyta; Magnoliopsida; Malpighiales; Euphorbiaceae.